This 784-nucleotide long non-coding RNA is filed under the name Gossypium barbadense (sea-island cotton). RNAcentral's name for it is "long non-coding RNA (GBAR_LNC012013)". Lineage: Eukaryota; Viridiplantae; Streptophyta; Magnoliopsida; Malvales; Malvaceae. The record is from RNAcentral.
GUGGACUGGCUCUUUUUAAGAGAAGUUUUCAACUGGCUCUUUCAAGAGAAGUUUUCAAACAACUAAAUGUAUUCAAGAGAAGUUUUCAAACAACCAAAUGUAUUCCGUGUUGAGAUUUUGUUCCCGCCAAUUCAUGUAGCUCAAGUGGUAUCUUGGCUGCACAGGUAAGGGCCAUAUAAAUCUCAAGUUGAUAUGAUUCGAGUCGCCUACGCUCAAUUAACUCUAAAUUAUUAUUCACAUGUUCUAUACUAACACCCUCUCAUCAAUCUUAGAUCAUAUCUCCUUCACGAGGACAAUACCUUCAAUUGUUAGGAGUCCAAAAGGCUGCCCAACUGACACCUUGAAGACUUUUACCGGAAAAACCAACCCACCCUCAACAAAAACGUAAUGCUACUAAAGAAAAACCAGUUCUGUCUGCAAAAGCCAUUCAACAUAACAAUAAGAUUAAGCCAUUUUUUAACUUUCUUCCUUGAAAGAAUGCAUUCCUGGUGGAAAAUUAUGAAAGAUAACAGCAGAUUAAACAAGGUACCUAUGUUACUUGGAAUCGAGAGUAUAUGGGAUAAGAAUAAUGUCUCCUCCAAUACGAGCAUGUCUAACUUUUUCCGAGCUUUUCCUUGUAUAUUCUCAUACUUGUGCUUGGAUUCGAGUUUACCUCACACAUACGAAGUAAAUCCGUCGACAGAAAAGGAAAUUUUUAUGUUUCUAAUCAGUAUUGAAAUAUGACCUUAAGAUGUAGGCUAGUCUUUUAUGAAUUUUUUUCCCACAACAUAAUAAUGAUAUACAA